UUUCAGUUAUCAAUCAGCAUUUAAAGUCCUUUGAAUUGAACACCUGAAGUUUCAGGAAGCCACCCCAGCUCAUGUAAAUCACAGAAGCUUUCCCAACACAAAGGAGCAUCAGAAGGCACUUCUAAGGUCUGGAGUGUCAACAAAGAAUAUCCAUCCCAAAUAUUAGCCCCUAACAAAGGACAAGGGUGAUUCCAUCCUUCUCUGCCUGCAGCAUUGCAUGCCUUGUAUUCUUCACAGGAACAAUAUCCUACAUCAGGUCCAAGUGUCCAUAAUUGCAAGUUGCAAAUACUAAGGCAGUCCAUCUACAGCAGCUGAGGGGAUCACCCUGAAGACCCAGCAUGAGAUGCGAUUCAUCAAGCGCAGCAAAAAUGUAGCCCACUCUUCAUCUGAAUAACGAAACACUGGACAACUUAUCCUCUCAAAAAAGAUUGACAGACUGGUAGAAGACAUAUACAUUUGUACUUUUAAAGGCUGUACAUUUGUGAUGCAAGGAGUCACUAUCAAAUUCAUUUCUAAUCUAAAGCCUGCACCCCGAGGGGCUAUUUAACCUCCAGUACAAUUGGUGUCUUGCUAACCAAACAAGAACUUGACAGACAAUCCAGGUACCUGGACUUUUUUGCAGUAUUUACUACCCAGCCGCGUGAUUGAAGGUAUGCAGUAACACUUGGUGCCAUGAGCUUUGGAUCUGACAAAGAAUGAGAGGAACUGCCAACACUCUUGGAUGCUUUCUUCUCCAGGAUCUAAAGACAGUCCUCCAGGAACUCUUCCCGGCUCGACCUAGUGUACCCUGCGUUACUUAUUCUUGUCUGUCUGCCAUGAUAUCCUGCCAAAUACACCAUUUAUCUGUG
Molecule: long non-coding RNA, 848 nt
Organism: Antechinus flavipes (yellow-footed antechinus)
Lineage: Eukaryota; Metazoa; Chordata; Mammalia; Dasyuromorphia; Dasyuridae
Exons: 4
Source: RefSeq, a predicted model, not a curated record